CUUCUUUUCAGGCAGGGAAUGGACCCUGUAGAGACUCAAACACUGGUAUAACAUAGACCUGGGCUCUCAGCUUUAGAUGAUUAGAUUCAGAUGUUUCCAAGAAAAUUAUUUGCUCCAAAAGGACUCUUUGGUUACUAAAAGGUAUAGCAAUCAUAUUUAAAAUGUUUUUACUCACAGUCAGGUUCCUACAGCUUCAGUCACAUAGGAUUUACUUGAGGGUUUAUCCUUGGGCUGCUCUGUUGAGUGCGGAGAAUUCAGCCUGUGUCCGUGACAAACUGCAUCACCCUAAGACUCUGCCAGACCCUAGGACAAACUCUUCCUCUUCUCCACCUCUGAAGCCUGAUGACGUGCCUGGUCCUGGCUCUCUCUGCAGAACUCCUUGCUGGGUUUUGCAUACAUCCCUGCAGCUGCUUUUGCAAACCACAAGUUACAUUUCUCCACUGUCAACAAUUGCAAUCUUUCCCACGGAAGACUUUGCUCUGGGUUUGAACCUCAGCCACGGUGCUGUUGCCUGAGUGCCCACCUCUUGCCAGCUGUUGAGCUGCUCUCCAUCCCCCUGCCUCCCCAGAGUCAGGCAGGCAUGCUGCACCUCACCUGCUGCAAGCCGUUUUAUUUUUGUUGGCUUGGGAAAAGCUGUUGGUCUUGGUUUCUUUUUCAAUAUUUCACAUGAAAGAGAGGAAAUGAAGCUGCGUUGCAGAGCCUAACUUCUUCAGGUCAACAGCUACCAACACUGUGCCUUCCAGCACCUGGUGCUGGAGGGUGAUUUGGUAAAGUCCUCCCUCACCUGCCUCCCUGUAGGUCAUCCUCCUAGUUUCAGUGAGACUAUUCAAAACAUUUACAUCCCCCAGCUGUAAGUGGGGGUGGCAAAUGCAAAUUAAAUGAAAUAGAGAGAUCUUUUCUUUUUGAUAUGUCACCUGCAGACGUGAAUUUUUGCUGAUGUUGACAAUUACUCCAGACACAAUAUAUAGUUUCUUAACAUAUAUUCAUAAAAAAAAGAAACACGCACACACACACACACACACAAAGAAACAGCCAAACCAAAACAAAAAACUACCACCAAGAAAAAAAAAAAGUUCAGAUCUGAGGAAUAAACAAACGGCUUUCCAGAAACCUGAAAUUUCA
RNAcentral lists this long non-coding RNA (1122 nucleotides) under Anas platyrhynchos platyrhynchos (common mallard). RNAcentral's name for it is "lncRNA (ENSAPLG00000026774.1)". The record is from RNAcentral. Lineage: Eukaryota; Metazoa; Chordata; Aves; Anseriformes; Anatidae.